ACGCUCGACACCUACGGGAGGUAGCAGUAGGGAAUCUUCCACAAUGGACGCAAGUCUGAUGGAGCAACGCCGCGUGAGUGAAGAAGGUCUUCGGAUCGUAAAACUCUGUUGUUAGAGAAGAACACGAGUGAGAGUAACUGUUCAUUCGAUGACGGUAUCUAACCAGCAAGUCACGGCUAACUACGUGCCAGCAGCCGCGGUAAUCUGAGCGGGCUGGCAAGGC
Molecule: ribosomal RNA, 223 nt
Filed under: uncultured bacterium
Lineage: Bacteria
Description: partial 16S ribosomal RNA
Rfam family: Bacterial small subunit ribosomal RNA
Source: RNAcentral